GACGAGCGCUGGCGGCGUGCUUAACACAUGCAAGUCGAACGGUGAAGCGCCUUCCUUUUUGGUGGGUGUGGAUGAGUGGCGAACGGGUGAGUAACACGUGAGUAACCUGCCCCCUUCUUCUGGAUAACCGCAUGAAAGUGUGGCUAAUACGGGAUAUUCUGGGUCUGUCGCAUGAUGGGUCUGGGAAAGAUAUUGUUUCGGUGGGGGAUGGGCUCGCGGCCUAUCAGCUUGUUGGUGGGGUGAUGGCCUACCAAGGCGGUGACGGGUAGCCGGCCUGAGAGGGUGGACGGUCACACUGGGACUGAGACACGGCCCAGGCUCCUACGGGAGGCAGCAGUGGGGAAUAUUGCACAAUGGGCGCAAGCCUGAUGCAGCGACGCCGCGUGAGGGAUGGAGGCCUUCGGGUUGUGAACCUCUUUCGCCAGUGAAGCAGGCCUGCCUCGUUUGUGGGUGGGUUGACGGUAGCUGGAUAAGAAGCGCCGGCUAACUACGUG
This 494-nucleotide ribosomal RNA is filed under the name uncultured bacterium. RNAcentral describes it as "partial 16S ribosomal RNA". It matches the Rfam family "Bacterial small subunit ribosomal RNA", at positions 28 to 507 of the family's 1533-position model. The record is from RNAcentral.